RNAcentral lists this ribosomal RNA (484 nucleotides) under uncultured bacterium. RNAcentral's name for it is "partial 16S ribosomal RNA". It matches the Rfam family "Bacterial small subunit ribosomal RNA", at positions 30 to 507 of the family's 1533-position model. The record is from RNAcentral.
AUUGAACGCUGGCGGCAGGCCUAACACAUGCAAGUCGAGCGGAUGAAGGGAGCUUGCUCCUGGAUUCAGCGGCGGACGGGUGAGUAAUGCCUAGGAAUCUGCCUGGUAGUGGGGGAUAACGUCCGGAAACGGGCGCUAAUACCGCAUACGUCCUGAGGGAGAAAGUGGGGGAUCUUCGGACCUCACGCUAUCAGAUGAGCCUAGGUCGGAUUAGCUAGUUGGUGGGGUAAAGGCCUACCAAGGCGACGAUCCGUAACUGGUCUGAGAGGAUGAUCAGGCACACUGGAACUGAGAAACGGUCCAGAGUCCUACGGGAGGCAGCAGUGUGGAAUAUUGGACAAUGGGCGAAAGCAUGAUCCAGCCAUGCCGCGUGUGGGAAGAAGGUCUUCGGAUUGUAAAGCACUUUAAGUUGGGAGGAAGGGCAGUAAGUUAAUACCUUGCUGUUUUGACGUUACCAAAAGAAUAAGCACCGGCUAACUUCGUG